GGGCCCGUAGCUCAGUCAGGACAGAGCGCCGGGCUUUUAACCCGGAGGCCGCGGGUUCGAAUCCCGCCGGGCCCG
This 75-nucleotide transfer RNA is filed under the name archaeon. RNAcentral describes it as "tRNA-Lys". It matches the Rfam family "tRNA". Rfam says of the family: Transfer RNA (tRNA) molecules are approximately 80 nucleotides in length. Their secondary structure includes four short double-helical elements and three loops (D, anti-codon, and T loops). RNAcentral also lists the same sequence under 1 other name. The record is from RNAcentral.